Molecule: ribosomal RNA, 468 nt
Filed under: uncultured bacterium
Lineage: Bacteria
Description: partial 16S ribosomal RNA
Rfam family: Bacterial small subunit ribosomal RNA
Source: RNAcentral
GACGAACGCUGGCGGCGUGCUUAACGCAUGCAAGUCGAACGGAAAGGCCCUGCUUUUGUGGGGUGCUCGAGUGGCGAACGGGUGAGUAACACGUGAGUAACCUGCCCUUGACUUUGGGAUAACUUCAGGAAACUGGGGCUAAUACCGGAUAGGAGCUCCUGCUGCAUGGUGGGGGUUGGAUAGUUUCGGCGGUUGGGGAUGGACUCGCGGCUUAUCAGCUUGUUGGUGGGGUAGUGGCUUACCAAGGCUUUGACGGGUAGCCGGCCUGAGAGGGUGACCGGCCACAUGGGGACUGAGAUACGGCCCAGACUCCUACGGGAGGCAGCAGUGGGGAAUAUUGCACAAUGGGCGGAAGCCUGAUGCAGCAACGCCGCGUGCGGGAUGACGGCCUUCGGGUUGUAAACCGCUUUCGCCUGUGACGAAGCGUGAGUGACGGUAAUGGGUAAAGAAGCACCGGCUAACUACGUG